This 450-nucleotide ribosomal RNA is filed under the name uncultured bacterium. Its description in RNAcentral is "bacterial SSU rRNA". It matches the Rfam family "Bacterial small subunit ribosomal RNA", at positions 335 to 796 of the family's 1533-position model. The record is from RNAcentral.
ACUCCUACGGGAGGCAGCAGUGGGGAAUAUUGCGCAAUGGGCGAAAGCCUGACGCAGCAACGCCGCGUGCGGGAUGACGGCCUUCGGGUUGUAAACCGCUUUCAGCUCCGACGAAGCUAACGUGACGGUAGGAGCAGAAGAAGCACCGGCCAACUACGUGCCAGCAGCCGCGGUAAUACGUAGGGUGCGAGCGUUGUCCGGAAUUAUUGGGCGUAAAGAGCUUGUAGGCGGUCUGUCGCGUCGGAAGUGAAAACUCAGGGCUUAACCCUGAGCCUGCUUCCGAUACGGGCAGACUAGAGGAAGGUAGGGGAGAACGGAACUCCUGGUGGAGCGGUGGAAUGCGCAGAUAUCAGGAAGAACACCGGUGGCGAAGGCGGUUCUCUGGACCUUUCCCUGACGCUGAGAAGCGAAAGCGUGGGGAGCAAACAGGCUUAGAUACCCUGGUAGCUA